This 302-nucleotide ribosomal RNA is filed under the name uncultured bacterium. RNAcentral's name for it is "bacterial SSU rRNA". It matches the Rfam family "Bacterial small subunit ribosomal RNA", at positions 774 to 1072 of the family's 1533-position model. The record is from RNAcentral.
AGUGAAUAGAUACCCUGGUAGUCCACGCUGUAAACGAUGAGUGCUGGACGUUGGCGGGUUUACCUGCCGGUGUCGCAGCUAACGCGUUAAGCACUCCGCCUGGGGAGUACGGCCGCAAGGUUAAAAACUCAAAGGAAUUGACGGGGGCCCGCACAAGCGGUGGAGCAUGUGGUUUAAAUUCGACGCAACGCGCAGAACCUUACCAGCCCUUGACAUGGGCGACGGGGUCCAGAGAUGGACUCUUUCUCGCAAGAGACCGCUACACAGGUGCUGCAUGGCUGUCGUCAGCUCGUGUCGUGAGA